RNAcentral lists this ribosomal RNA (200 nucleotides) under uncultured bacterium. RNAcentral's name for it is "partial 16S ribosomal RNA". It matches the Rfam family "Bacterial small subunit ribosomal RNA", at positions 30 to 232 of the family's 1533-position model. The record is from RNAcentral.
AUUGAACGCUGGCGGCAUGCUUUACACAUGCAAGUCGAACGGCAGCGCGGGGCAACCUGGCGGCGAGUGGCGAACGGGUGAGUAAUAUAUCGGAACGUAUCCAAGAGUGGGGGAUAACGUAGCGAAAGUUACGCUAAUACCGCAUACGAUCUAAGGAUGAAAGCAGGGGAUCUUCGGACCUUGUGCUCCUGGAGCGGCCG